UGGGGAAUAUUGGACAAUGGGCGCAAGCCUGAUCCAGCCAUGCCGCGUGAGUGAUUAAGGCCUUAGGGUUGUACAGCUCUUUCACCGGAGAAGAUAAUGACGGUAUCCGGAGAAGAAGCCCCGGCUAACUUCGUGCCAGCAUCCGCGGUAAUACGAAGGGGACUAGCGUUGUUCGGAAUCACUGGGCGUAAAGCGCACGUAGGCGGAUAUGUCAGUCAGGGGUGAAAUCCCGGGGCUCAACCUCGGAACUGCCCUUGAUACAGCAUGUCUUGAGUCCGAUAGAGGUGAGUGGUAUUCCUAGUGUAGAGGUGAAAUCCAUAGAUAUAAGAAGGAACACCAAUGGCGUAGGCAUGUUACUGGACCAUUUCUGACACUAAGGCACGAACGCGUGGGGAGCGAACG
RNAcentral lists this ribosomal RNA (402 nucleotides) under uncultured bacterium. RNAcentral's name for it is "bacterial SSU rRNA". It matches the Rfam family "Bacterial small subunit ribosomal RNA", at positions 355 to 774 of the family's 1533-position model. The record is from RNAcentral.